AUUGAACGCUGGCGGCAGGCCUAACACAUGCAAGUCGAGCGGAUGAAGGGAGCUUGCUCCUGGAUUCAGCGGCGGACGGGUGAGUAAUGCCUAGGAAUCUGCCUGGUAGUGGGGGAUAACGUCCGGAAACGGGCGCUAAUACCGCAUACGUCCUGAGGGAGAAAGUGGGGGAUCUUCGGACCCCACGCUAUCAGAUAAGCCUAGGUCGGAUUAGCUAGUUGGUGGGGUAAAGGCCUACCAAGGCGACGAUCCGUAACUGGUCUGAGAGGAUGAUCAGUCACACUGGAACUGAGACACGGUCCAGACUCCUACGGGAGGCAGCAGUGGGGAAUAUUGGACAAUGGGCGAAAGCCUGAUCCAGCCAUGCCGCGUGUGUGAAGAAGGUCUUCGGAUUGUAAAGCACUUUAAGUUGGGAGGAAGGGCAGUAAGUUAAUACCUUGCUGUUUUGACGUUACCAACAGAAUAAGCACCGGCUAACUUCGUG
This 484-nucleotide ribosomal RNA is filed under the name uncultured bacterium. RNAcentral describes it as "partial 16S ribosomal RNA". It matches the Rfam family "Bacterial small subunit ribosomal RNA", at positions 30 to 507 of the family's 1533-position model. The record is from RNAcentral.